GCAAUGAGAUCGCAUAUACCAACGCGAUCGCAUCUUAAGUCAAGAUCACAACUCUGAAACCAACUUAAAUGAUCCAACAAACGUAUCUGGCAACGAAUUUAUGCUCCAGUCUCAAUCACAACAAAGUCAGAAUCACGUGUAUGAAGAACCGAGAUGGGAACCUGAAAAUCAUUCCAAUGUUGUGAAAAUCAGCUUUGAACCUCGUCCUCCCGGGUAUGAGGAACCUAUUAUUGUAACCUUUGACAAGUCUCCGCAGAACCAGAGUGUUGAUCAAUGCGAAAAUUCUUCUGUCCGUGGUUCAAUGAUUAAUGAAGAUAAUGGUGAACAGUAUACAUCUUUGAUAUUACUUCCAGGCUGUAGAAAUGACUUAGAAAAUAAUGAUUACAACCACUGCUAAAGAAUUGUAAUGUAACAAAUGGUGAGAGUGUUCAUCAAUACCAAAAUUCUUUUGUCAGUGAUUUGAUGAUUAAUGAAGAGAAAGGUGAGCAAUAUAAAUGUUUGAUAAAACUUCCAGGAAGUGAAAAUGAUACAGAAAAUGACGGUUAUCAACCAUUGCUGAAGAAUGAUAAUGUAACAAAUGGUAAACGUGUUGAUGAAUAUCGAAAUUCUUCUGUCAGAAAUUCAAAAAUAAAGGCGAGAAAUAUUUGACAAUUAUUG
Molecule: long non-coding RNA, 657 nt
Organism: Xenia sp. Carnegie-2017
Lineage: Eukaryota; Metazoa; Cnidaria; Anthozoa; Malacalcyonacea; Xeniidae
Exons: 2
Source: RefSeq, a predicted model, not a curated record